This 426-nucleotide long non-coding RNA is filed under the name Drosophila guanche. The record is from RNAcentral. Lineage: Eukaryota; Metazoa; Arthropoda; Insecta; Diptera; Drosophilidae.
GCCAGGAGCUCAUCAAACAUUUUAUUACUCGGCCAGGGGACAAAUUUCUUGUAGCUUUCCAUUAAAAGCACACAAUUUAAUGUGAUAGAGAUGGGCAAAAGGGAGUCGGAAAAAUUAAUAAUAUACAACAUUUAAAGGUCAAUAAAUAUAAAUUUAUGUAAAUUGCUAAACGAUAAGAAAGCCGAGUGUAGAGUUUCGUGGAGACCGCUCUGCCAGAGCUCUCAGAGAGUUGUAACAGCGCGCGUUUACAUCGAUCGAUAACAGCGAGCGCUUACAUCCAUCGCUAACAGCAUGCUCAACAGUUUACAGUGCGGGAGCCUGUAAAUCGCAUGUCUGUUAAACACUAUAAAAUAUGAAUUUAAACAUUGCACAGCUUUUGCUUUAAAAUUGAGCCUUUUAUAUUAAAGUAAAACUAGGUAAAAAUGC